Long non-coding RNA from Peromyscus leucopus (white-footed mouse), 1017 nucleotides. RefSeq lists it as uncharacterized. The record is from RefSeq and is a predicted model, not a curated record. The transcript is spliced from 2 exons. Lineage: Eukaryota; Metazoa; Chordata; Mammalia; Rodentia; Cricetidae.
CCCGAGCAGGCCCCGCCCCGGCUCCCCGCGCCUGUGGCCCCCACCCAGGUGCGAGGAAGCUAGCACCGCGGGGCUGCGGGCGGAAGUCUGGAGGGCACAGGGACCAGCUGGGUGGUGGCCUGAGGACGGUGGGCACCGGAGUCUGCCACGCUCUCCACUGGAAAGGCCUCGGGCCAUCAGCCUGAGGUGUAGCCGUCAAAGCCUGGAGGGUGUCCUCGCUCGGCUAGGGAGCCUCCUGCAAACCGUCGCUGGGCGUUCUCCUCGGGGUCUCUGUGACGUCGCUAAAAGACACCUGCGGCGAGGCUUCGGCUGCAUUUGUGGCGUUCAGUGUGGACUGGCUGCUGUGGGCCACCUGACCCAGGGCCUCGGGCAUGGCAGUUUUGUUCUAAAUGUGCUAUUGUUAACGAAAUGGAGCACCUCAUACGUUUUCUCCAGAUUCAAUUAAGCAUAUCAGUUAAAUCAAUAUAAAUGUUUUCCUGAGAUUCCUGUCCACUGAAAGAUGCCCUGAUCUUUUUGCCCGGCCACUCCAGUUGUUAACUACAAUACUUGAUGGAGUGUGGAUGCUUGAACCACUUUGCUGGUGUUUUCUUUGCCACUGGUGGCCGCUGCGCCGGGGAGGAGCGGAGGAUGCAAGCGGCAUUCUACAGGAGAUGGAGCUGAAGAGCAAAGAGCUCUCACACCAUAGAUGGGUUUUUUAAAGACUCAAAAUGGGAGUUGGAGCAGAAGGUGUGGCUUCAUGGCUGAGUUCUGGACAAAGGAAUAUAUAGUCCCCUGCCCGCACACUCAUUUUCUCCGAGCCUGAUGGAGAGUGCCAGAGGUCGGUGCUGAGGCCCUGGAGCAACACCAAUGGAAAACUCACAGCACACUGUGAUUGGAAAGCCGGAGAUCAACCUGUGUGUGCUGGGCGCCUAAACUGGAGUGGUUCUCGUCUAUCAGCCAGCUUCUAUGGAUACACACCUGGUUGCCCAUCCCAGCCUCAGACACUGCGAUUACCAAUAAACCUCCCCUGUUCCAUCA